This 107-nucleotide small RNA is filed under the name Plautia stali symbiont. RNAcentral's name for it is "ArcZ RNA". It matches the Rfam family "ArcZ RNA". From Rfam's summary of the family: This RNA was discovered in E. coli during a large scale screen. Lineage: Bacteria; Pseudomonadati; Pseudomonadota; Gammaproteobacteria; Enterobacterales; Enterobacteriaceae. The record is from Rfam by way of RNAcentral.
AAGCUUUAACCAAUACCAUGCUGUUGCUUUUGUAUACGAUUUCUAAUAAUAGCAGCAGCGCCCAUUUCCCUGGUGUUGGCGCAGUAUUCGCGCACCCCGGUUUCGAC